UGCCCCGGUUUGGGGCUGUUAGUGGAGCAGGGGGGAGUUUUUGGGGGGUUUUGGGUCAGUGGUGGACGCGCAGAGCCGGAGGAGCAGGCAAGGCACGCAGCUCUUCCUCUGAGGGCCGAAAACCCUGAGGGGUUUUGCUUUAGGGCGUGAAGUAACCCUAACACAGCGGUAUCGCUUUUACUUCACAUUUACUUGAGUGAAGCUCAGGAGAAGCCAGAGGUGCAGUAAGAGCCUCCAAACUUAACCAGCCCAGGGAGCUGCUGCUGGGGAUAGCCCAAGGGGGAAGGGGGAGCUCGGAGGUCGGAGAGGGGCCUGGGGCUCGGCCUGCCGCCAGCAAGGCCUCGGCCACCCCAGCGAUCACCAUCCUCGGGAGCAAAGCUGCUACCAAAAUGGGAGAUUUCUCUUGGGAAAGGUGCUUCAGCCCACCAAAAUGCCCGUCAUUGUUACAGCAGUGUCGUUUUGUGUGAGCCUGUCAGAUGCAGAACAGGUGAAUGAAACCCCCUGAGACCUUUAAAGAGCAUUACCAGCUUUAUUCUACAGAAACUGAGAAGCAGAAAUGUAGCAUUUUGCUCCAGACCAUGGACAGGACUCACUGCUAAAGCUGAGGAGGAAGAACCAAAAAAGAUGAGAAGUCUCUGCAUUGAUAGAGUCCUAUCACACAGCCCUGUAGAGCAGCGCUGCUUCUUCCAGUCAAGAGGCAAGGAGACACCCCCCAGCUUUCUUCCUGCUAUCCAAGUUCCUAGCAAAAAGAUCGGAACAAUAAUGUGAGGCAUGGGAGACUGAUACUCAGGUGCAUACGAUGCUUAGGCUGGCUUUGGAUCCCACCUACACAUCCUGGUGCUACUGACUCAUCCUCCAGUUCAGAACGAUGGGUGGAGCAGAGACAGCCCUCCGUGAUUUCUGUUUUGGUGUUCACCUAUGAGUAGCUUUGACUUUCCUGUUCACCACGGGUGUGAAGUUCACACUCACAAUUAGCCCUGUUCUUUCUCAAGCUUGGUGCUGAGAGCUUUUCCAGCAGAAACCAGCCCUUCUUCCACAGGAAUCAGCUGGUAACAAGGGAAGUCAUUGGGGGCUGAUGUCUGAGAGCUGUCCUGGCACCAGAUCCGGAGGUAAAAUCGCUGGUGAUAGAAUGAGUGGGUGGCCCAGAGAAGAGAAGAGAGGCCACCGAGGAUGAAGUGCAGGACUGUCAUUCAGUGCAGCACUGUAAAUAUGCUAUAUACAUCUGCAAAGUGCAUUUCUAAUGCACUAAGUGCAAAUUUACAGAUUCAUGUAAGUAAAGUGAAGGUCAGCAGUCUGAUUGGGCUCCCCACUGGGUGCAGGCUCGCCAUGGUGCUAGCACCGGUAUGGGCGUCCUUGCACCUUGGCCACUCCUGCACCCCUGAGUCAGGGCAGCUCUUUGACAAGUUUCAUGUGACUGUCAGCACCACUCAGCCACUCCCAUGAAAACUUUUGUUCUAGAUAGGCAAAUUUCCUAUUUUAAAAUAUUUUCUCGUAAUUGUUCUCUUCUGUGACCGAACACGCAGAGAUCAUACCACCCUAGGGCAAGGGGAGGGGGAUUUCUACCAGUUAGCUGCAACGUUUUUCUCCUUUCCCAGGCACAGCAACGUACCCUAUUUUUUGCAAAAAAAGAUGUGUCUGAAUCGUUGGUGCCUCUACUGCUCAAAGUGCUCUCUGGUUUUGUAGCAGCGACAGCAGCCACCAGAAGAGGUGGUGCACAAUGACCUGUGUUUGUCUUUCACUGAACUGACUGUGGUUGUUUGGUAAAGGACAUUACUCUUGCUUUGGUGAGGAGCUGGUUUUGACUGCAUAUGAAGGGAGUAAGAGUGGCAGCAUGGGAACAAGUAUUUGUCUCCCAAAGUCCGUGAAAACUUACUAAGAUACGAAGUGAAAUCUGUAAGGGUGCUUUGAGGAUGCCAGUGAGCUCUAUAUGAUAAACAGUAUAUUAAAAAGCACUGAAGCAUGCUAUGAUAAACAGUCUCCUUCUUUGCAGUUGUAAUAUAUACAAUGAGCAAGAGAUAUCAUCCUGUAUUCAAUCAAAAUCAGGACUGGAGUCUUUGUUCCUUCCAGACAUCAGCCAUGAAAUGUGAUUUCUUUUUUAAUCUGAUCAGCGCCUCUGGCAUUUAAGAUUGGCUGUGGAGCUGCUAACAUAAUGAACUGCUUUAUUUUCCCCCUGCUAAAUGGUAUUUAGAAAAAAAUAAAAAAAGCCUUAGAAAUGAGACUCAGACAAAGCUAGACUGGGUCACUUAAAAACACAAAGGGUAUUUCUUUGCAGGUGCAAACCGAUUUAUACCAGUUGUGCAUGUGGGCCUUCACCUGGCUGUAGCAUCUUUCCCUGCAGUUUUACAAACCUCCCUUGUAGCUCUGGCUCUGGGAUUCUGCCCUUGCAGGUUCGUCUCUGGCAGGGAGACUAACCAUGCACCUAUGUGACCUAGUGCAGAUACUGCUCAAUCCUGAGAUAUCUGUGAGAAAAAAAUAGUACGUGAAUGCUUUCUUUGGAGAUUACAUAGUUAGGGAGCAGUGAUGAGUUGCAGAGCAAUCAGACCUCCUUAUUAAUUAUAAUGUGUUUGAGUGCCUGAGGCUGAAAGCUGCAUUGCAGUUGUGGUAGACAUAUCUUUCCUAAUAAAUAGCUUCCAAAGACAGGAGAAAGGACAAGCAAAGAAAGGAACAAAGAAACUCUAGGCUAACUGGUUCAGCCUUUAAUGUGACUGAAGCUGAUGCAGUGGCAAAGUACGGCGUGUCCAUCUUCAUGCUGCACUUUAUUGGGAUGAAGGAGGACGAAACGGUGCAUCCAAGAUGCUGAUGUUACUCACAAGUGAUGAGUCUGUACCUCUGCAGAUCUUGAAGCAGAUCUUCCAGGCCAUACAUUCAUAAUCAUUCCUUUUUGUAACGUCAGUUUACAGUGAAGCUGAGACAUCCACACCGCCCAUGUCAGCUGUGCACUUGAGCAACAACAGUGUGAAAGCAGACAAAGCGACUGCUCCUGCUUUACAAGAUGGUUUUACAUUUUUGUGUUAAAAGGGUGGAGGAUAUUGUUUCCCAUUUCUUCAGAAUUUCAUAGAGAAGCAGCCAAGUGUAAUUAAAUGCCAUGUCCGUGGUGAUACAAGCCAGCUGGGCCAGACAGUGCCUUCAAGUAAGAGGAAGAGCUCUGCACUGGAAGGACUGAAAACUUGCAGUGAGGUAUGCGUGCGCAAGUGUUGCAUUCACACACGUGAUAUCUAUUUCAGAGACAACCAUAAUUUUUUCGGACUCUUCCCAUUUAUUCCCUGCUGUCAGGAGUGAAUUAGCUGUGCUCUCCCUCCUUCUCUGCUGGUCACAGUCCCUGAGGGAUGCAGGUGAGCUGUCCCAAACUUGCUAUCACCAUCCUGUCCCUGGGCGUUCAGCCUCUGACCAGUGUGUGCUCACCCCACAGGGCUGCCUGCCCCCGCUGGAAGCAACCCCAGCAUUUUGUUUGGGGCCCGGGGCUGUAUCGGUGCUCGUGCACUGCAGGAGGGGUUUUGCACUUGAGUGCCCACUGUCUCUUCACGCUUUCCUUCAAACUUAACAGCCCACACGAGACUUGUAAUAAUAACCGGGAUGCGCUGCCUUAUUGCUUGAAUACCCUCGUGGAUAUACUCAACCUGAUCUACAGUUCAAAUAAAUUCAAUAAGACAGAGGAGGGUUUAAAGACAUUUUAAAUAAAUUAACUUCUGGAUGGAUGUUUAUUAAGUUUUAUGAAGCCAUUUACUAAAAUGCAAUGUUUGUUUCAAAAGGCAUCUUAAAUUUUCCUCUUGUGAGCUAUGGAAAUUACUUUUAUAAUUGAAAUGAGAAA
Molecule: long non-coding RNA, 3808 nt
Organism: Cygnus olor (mute swan)
Lineage: Eukaryota; Metazoa; Chordata; Aves; Anseriformes; Anatidae
Exons: 5
Source: RefSeq, a predicted model, not a curated record